UGGUCAAGUUAUUAAGGGUGCAGGGCGGAUGCCUUGGCACUAGGAGCCGAUGCAGGCCGUGAACAGCGGCGAUAAGCUCCUGUGAGUUGCACGUAAACUUUGUUCCGAAGAAUUCCGAAUGGGGCAACUCACUCAGUGUAAUGUCUACGUUACAUUGAGUGAAUACAUAGCUUAAUGAGGGAGACUCG
RNAcentral lists this ribosomal RNA (188 nucleotides) under Clostridioides sp. ES-S-0056-01. RNAcentral describes it as "partial 23S ribosomal RNA". It matches the Rfam family "Bacterial large subunit ribosomal RNA", at positions 1 to 187 of the family's 2925-position model. Lineage: Bacteria; Bacillati; Bacillota; Clostridia; Peptostreptococcales; Peptostreptococcaceae. The record is from RNAcentral.